CUCGCUCAUGGCCGGGCUAGAAGGAACGGAGUACCAUCAUGACUUUUUGCUUCUAUACCUAAAGAUGUUCCCGGCCGAGAGAAGAAGCCCCAUAGUAAUGCAGGCUUUGAAUUUGGCGGAGCAGAGAGACGCGGAGAAACAAACGGAAACUCGAGAACAGAACGAUGGCUGUCAGGCUUAUAGCUGUCCUGUGCCUGAUAACUACCUUUGAUUGCUCUCUAUUCAUUUCUUUCGUAUUAUCUCUAUUAGCCUUUUGUAAGACAAAGUGUACAGAUCAAUUAUUGUUAGAAAGAAACGAUGAUUGUGUAAAAGAUUGUAUAAAUUCGUGUAAAAUUCGUUUUCUGUAUGAAUGUCGAUCUAGCAUAGAAUCUGUUUAUGUAGCAUAAAAGACAUUUACACAGAGAUUCUUCCUUUGCUUUCACUAUUACGUGCUUUCCAGCUUUUCGAAGAAUAACGACAUCAGAAUUAUUUUAGUAAUGGGGUUAAUCAUGCGUUAUUCUUUCAGCUUCUACGAAAAUGAAAGUCACUUGCUCUUGACAGCUGCAGACACGUCCAAACUGCUUCAGCUUCUGGUACAAUGGCCUUCUCCAGUUCAGCCUUCUUCCACAUACACAUAUUUCUUAGUUAAUCCAUACGAAAGGUGGAAUUGCGAUUCAUAUUAGUAGCCGAUUCCGAAGUACUUUCAUUCGCAUAUUUAAAUCUUCAUACAUGAUAUGUCUCCUAAUUUGAAACCUGUUACAUGUUAUAUAACUUAUAUCAUUACACAACUUAUAUAAAUUAUACUAUUAUAUAAUUUUUGUUAUUCCCAUCUCCAUAAAAGAGAUUAGUGUAUGGUCUAUUGCAUGUAAUCAUGUUCAAUAAACAGAUUCAUC
This 872-nucleotide long non-coding RNA is filed under the name Penaeus japonicus. RNAcentral describes it as "uncharacterized LOC122252926". Lineage: Eukaryota; Metazoa; Arthropoda; Malacostraca; Decapoda; Penaeidae. The record is from RNAcentral.